Molecule: long non-coding RNA, 843 nt
Organism: Bombus pascuorum
Lineage: Eukaryota; Metazoa; Arthropoda; Insecta; Hymenoptera; Apidae
Exons: 3
Source: RefSeq, a predicted model, not a curated record
UACUUUAUUAUGAUAGAAGUUAUAUAUUGCACCGCGAGAGCGCAGUACUAAGGCAAUUAACAAAGUUCUGUUGCGGCUACCUUUGAGGAUAAGGAUUGCAAUGAUACGUAAUUUUUUUUUUUUGGACUAUCAAAUGAUAUUUUUAGGUUCUUUAAGUACAGUGUGAAUAUCGCGAAAUUAAAUCAUGUAAAAGAUUUGGGAAAAGUUUAUUGGAAAGUUUCAGAUAGCCGAUUUAAAAUUAUAAAAUUAGCUAUUCAAAAAAGGAGUUAAAGAUGUUUAAUAUUUACAAUUACUAUUGCGAGAUAUAGUAACAAAAGUUGGUAUUUUGUACCAACAUAAGUACCAAUGUAGAAGUAUUUUACUAACUUCGAUGAGUUUCACAAAUUAGUUUGUUGCAAUCUAUAUAACACUAUAACGGCUUUUUAUUUUCUUUAUAUGAACCAAAUUCGCAUGUUUUUUUUAAAUUCAAUUAUAUGUUACUUUUCAGAUUCUAAGACUCUUUAAUUGAUCUUUGAAGAGAUGUGAAAGGAACAUCAAAAUCCACGUUUCUACGCAUUUUAUUGGCCAAUAUAAGACGAUGAACGUAUUCCGUAUCUUUGAUAUCUGCGGACGUAUCAAAUGCUCGUUUAAUGUAAUUUUUAUUUGAUACCGGUAAAUAUACCGGAUAUUCAAUAUUAAACGAUAUGAUUAGACUUCCUCUUUUCUUCGGACUUUCCGGCAGCGGCAAUCCUUGACCACGAUCGAUUCUGUGAAACGUAAAAUAAUUAUUCAGUGAAUGAAACAAAGAGGAGAGGUAGAGAAGGACUGGAUUAGGGAUGGAGACGGUAGACACGUACGUGAUGA